CCUACGGGGGGCUGCAGUCGAGGAUCUUCCGCAAUGGGCGAAAGCCUGACGGAGCGACACCGCGUGCAGGAUGAAGGCCUUCGGGUUGUAAACUGCUGUCACGCCAUAGGAACCCCUGAAUGUGAAUAGCAUUCAGGCUGACUAAAGCGAGAGGAAGCACCGGCUAACUCUGUGCCAGCAGCCGCGGUAAGACAGAGGGUGCAAACGUUGCUCGGAAUCACUGGGCAUAAAGCGCACGUAGGCGGUCCGCUAAGUCUGAUGUGAAAUCCCUCGGCUCAACCGGGGAACUGCAUUGGAUACUGGCGGGCUUGAGAGUUGUAGGGGUGGACGGAACUCCAGGUGGAGCGGUGAAAUGCGUAGAUAUCUGGAGGAACACCGGAGGCGAAAGCGGUCCACUGGGCAACUUCUGACGCUGAGGUGCGAAAGCUAGGGUAGCAAAC
Molecule: ribosomal RNA, 440 nt
Filed under: uncultured bacterium
Lineage: Bacteria
Description: bacterial SSU rRNA
Rfam family: Bacterial small subunit ribosomal RNA
Source: RNAcentral